UAACGCGAAGAACCUUACCUGCUCUUGACAUCCCAUUCGAUAGAGGGUAAUGCCUCUAGCCCUUCGGGGGAAUGGAGACAGGUGGUGCAUGGUUGUCGUCAGCUCGUGUCGUGAGAUGUUGGGUUAAGUCCCGCAACGAGCGCAACCCUUAUUGUCAGUAGCCAGCAGGUGAAGCUGGGCACUCUGAUGAGACUGCCGGGGAUAACCCGGAGGAAGGUGGGGAUGACGUCAAAUCAUCAUGCCCCUUAUGAGCAGGGCUACACACGUGCUACAAUGGCGUAAACAGAGGGAAGCGAAGGAGUGAUCCGGAGCAAAUCUCAAAAAUAACGUCUCAGUUCGGAUUGUAGUCUGCAACUCGACUACAUGAAGCUGGAAUCGCUAGUAAUCGCAGAUCAGAAUGCUGCGGUGAAUACGUUCCCGGGUCUUGUACACACCGA
This 437-nucleotide ribosomal RNA is filed under the name uncultured bacterium. RNAcentral describes it as "bacterial SSU rRNA". It matches the Rfam family "Bacterial small subunit ribosomal RNA", at positions 957 to 1393 of the family's 1533-position model. The record is from RNAcentral.